ACAGUUUUGGUCCUAAACUUACUGCUACUUUUAAUCAAAUUUACACAUGCAAGCAUCCACACACCAGUGAAACACGCCCUAACACAGAACAAACGGAGCAGGUAUCAGGCACAACAAAAGCCCAAGACACCAAGCUUUGCCACACCCACACGGGUCAUCAGCAGUGAUAAACAUUAAGCAAUAAGCGAACACACCAAAAUUAAAGCUUGACUUAGUUAUGGUUAACAGGGCCGGUAAACCUCGUGCCAGCCACCGCGGUUAUACGAGGGGCCCAAAGCAGCAGACUCUCGGCGUAAAUAGUGGCCAGAAUAACUACCAACACACUAAAAACUAAACAAUAGCCUAACCGUAAAACACAGGCUAAAUGAAACCAAACGUUUUUAACAACCGGUAAUUUGACCCACGAAAACUAAGAAACAAACUAGGAUUAGAUACCCUACUAUGCUUAGUCGUUAAUACGAUAUUACAACACUAAAAUAUCCGCCAGAAAACUACGAGCGAAAAGCUUAAAACUCAAAGGACUUGCGGUGCUCCACACCGACUUAGAGGAGCCUGUCCUAUAAUCGAUACUCCACGCUAAACCUCACCAAUCUUUGCCAAAUCAGCCUAUAUACCGCCGUCGUCAACCUACCUCAUGAGAGAAAAACAGUAAGUACAAAAGUUUCAAAACUAAAACGUCAGGUCAAGGUGUAGCUAAUAGAAUGGGAGAGAUGGGCUACAUUUUUUAAUAUAAAACACAACGGCAUGGUUCUAUGAAACUUCUACCUGAAGGAGGAUUUAAUAGUAAACUAACAAGAAAAAAGUUAAUUUUAAACACGCUCUGGAGCGCCGCCACACCGCCCGUCACCCUCAUCUUACACCAACACCAAUAUACAUAAACCACUACAACAACAAAGAUGAGGNAAGUCGUAACAUGGUAAGCGCACUGGAAAGUGUGCUUGGACUAG
Molecule: non-coding RNA, 947 nt
Filed under: Sceloporus undulatus (fence lizard)
Lineage: Eukaryota; Metazoa; Chordata; Lepidosauria; Squamata; Phrynosomatidae
Description: 12S ribosomal RNA
Rfam family: Bacterial small subunit ribosomal RNA
Source: RNAcentral